This 516-nucleotide ribosomal RNA is filed under the name bacterium symbiont of Megymenum gracilicorne. Its description in RNAcentral is "bacterial SSU rRNA". It matches the Rfam family "Bacterial small subunit ribosomal RNA", at positions 527 to 1041 of the family's 1533-position model. The record is from RNAcentral.
AGAGGGUGCGAGCGUUAAUCGGAUUUACUGGGCGUAAAGCGUGCGUAGGCGGCUUUUUAAGUCGGAUGUGAAAUCCCCGAGCUUAACUUGGGAAUUGCAUUCGAUACUGGGAAGCUAGAGUAUGGGAGAGGAUGGUAGAAUUCCAGGUGUAGCGGUGAAAUGCGUAGAGAUCUGGAGGAAUACCGAUGGCGAAGGCAGCCAUCUGGCCUAAUACUGACGCUGAGGUACGAAAGCAUGGGGAGCAAACAGGAUUAGAUACCCUGGUAGUCCACGCCCUAAACGAUGCGAACUGGAUGUUGGUCUCAACUCGGAGAUCAGUGUCGAAGCUAACGCGUUAAGUUCGCCGCCUGGGGAGUACGGUCGCAAGACUGAAACUCAAAGGAAUUGACGGGGGCCCGCACAAGCGGUGGAGUAUGUGGUUUAAUUCGAUGCAACGCGAAGAACCUUACCUGGCCUUGACAUGUCCGGAAUCCAGCAGAGAUGCAGGAGUGCCUUCGGGAAUCGGAACACAGGUGC